CAUUAGAAGAGCUUAAGAUGGGAGAGAUAGAUCUGAAAUUGCAAAACAGAAAAGAUCUUGAACUCCUUUAUUUCUAUUACUCUAUCUAUUUAUGUUCUAUGUUUCAUUUGAGUUUAUUUCACACCAUCAGGACUUUGUCUCUCAUGAAUAUGUUUCAGUAAACCAAUUGUUAGAUUUAGGUUUCUCACCAUGGUUGAAAUUAUGUACUGCUAAUAUGACUAUUAAAAAAGUGUUUUGAUUGUUCUUUUAUUGGUUGUGAACUUAAUGCUAAAAUUGAGAUUGAUC
RNAcentral lists this long non-coding RNA (285 nucleotides) under Brassica napus (rape). RNAcentral's name for it is "long non-coding RNA (BNAP_LNC024999)". The record is from RNAcentral. Lineage: Eukaryota; Viridiplantae; Streptophyta; Magnoliopsida; Brassicales; Brassicaceae.